GUGGCGGGUAGCUCAAUUGGUUAGAGCGCCAUCCUUGCCUUGACGGGCCGAUAUGUCGAGGGUUAUCAAUAGAAUUAAAAAUCCUUGACAUACUUCCGGAGGCUGCGGGUUCGAGUCCCGUUCCGCUACACCA
Molecule: transfer RNA, 133 nt
Filed under: Microcoleus sp. FACHB-831
Lineage: Bacteria; Bacillati; Cyanobacteriota; Cyanophyceae; Oscillatoriales; Microcoleaceae
Description: tRNA-OTHER
Rfam family: tRNA
About the family: Transfer RNA (tRNA) molecules are approximately 80 nucleotides in length.
Source: RNAcentral